Molecule: long non-coding RNA, 672 nt
Organism: Paralichthys olivaceus (Japanese flounder)
Lineage: Eukaryota; Metazoa; Chordata; Actinopteri; Pleuronectiformes; Paralichthyidae
Source: RefSeq, a predicted model, not a curated record
GGAGCCAGCAUCUUAACGAAGUUACCUGAGGGUUAGCUCACUUAAAAACAAGAGUGGACAUGUUGGAGGAAGAUAGGAGACAGAGAGACGAGGACAGAGGCUCCAGCAGCAGCAGAGACAGACAGUAUGAACCGAGGAGGGCGGGACACUUGAGGAGACAUGAUCCGGAGAAAACACACUGACACCUGAGCGGCUAGCAGGCGGCUAGCUAGCAUCGCUCAGGUGCAGCAGCUAAUUAGCGCGACUCCUCCAGGAGCAGCGGAGCUCCGGACCACCGUUUACCCGCCUCUGGGUGACUCCGUGCGGGCUAAACUAGACCCACUUUCCCCUUACAGAGCAACUCAGUGCACUCUCACAAGAGACGUGCAUCCAUUAGUGAGUGCGUGCUGUGAUGUGCAUCUGCAGGGAAGACGCUGGACUUUUAUUUCAAGGUGUCUGACUUCGUGAAGCUGGAAGGCCCAGUCUGCACAGCUGGCUCUCUGAGACGUUUACCUGCGAGUGCACAUGGCGGCUGGAGCCACGUUGGCCGCCUGCAGCUGUUUAAAUGCAGCAGAGAAAAGGUGGGAGUUUUUGGAAUGGACGGUGGAUUAGGUUUUCUUAACUCUGCAUCCAGGCUGUCUGAUAAAUAAAUAGCCAUCUUUGUGCAAGAAAAACAAACAACAGGAAGAUAAA